Molecule: ribosomal RNA, 322 nt
Filed under: uncultured Bacillota bacterium
Lineage: Bacteria; Bacillati; Bacillota
Description: bacterial SSU rRNA
Rfam family: Bacterial small subunit ribosomal RNA
Source: RNAcentral
GACGAACGCUGGCGGCGUGCCUAACACAUGCAAGUCGAGCGGAGACAGCAGUAAUGUUGUUUUAGCGGCGGACGGGUGAGUAACGCGUGGGCAACCUACCUAUAACUGGGGGAUAACACAGGGAAACUUGUGCUAAUACCGCAUAACAUCACGAGAUGACAUCUUCUUGUGAUCAAAGGAGUAAUCCGGUGAUAGAUGGGCCCGCGUCCGAUUAGCUAGUUGGCGGUGUAAUAGACCACCAAGGCGACGAUCGGUAGCCGAACUGAGAGGUUGAUCGGCCACAUUGGGACUGAGACACGGCCCAGACUCCUACGGGAGGCAG